Molecule: unclassified non-coding RNA, 227 nt
Filed under: uncultured fungus
Lineage: Eukaryota; Fungi
Description: sequence contains ITS1, 5.8S rRNA gene, ITS2 and 28S rRNA gene
Source: RNAcentral
GGAAGGAUCAUUACCGAAUUGUCAAACACGGGUUGUUGCUGGCCCCCGAACUGGGCAUGUGCACGCUCUGUUUACACAUCCACUCACACCUGUGCACCCUCUGUAGUUCUGUGGACCGGGAGACAUCGUCUUCCUUCCGUAGCUCUACGUCUUUACACACACACCGUAGCGAUGUCUCAUGGAAUGUUUUUUCGCGUUUAACGCAAUACAAUACAACUUUCAGCAAC